UGAUUUUGAAGAACAAGACGGAGAAAACGAUGAUGAAGACGACGAAGAAGAUUGGUGUUUCGUUGAUCCAGCUGUUAAUUCCGAUGAUAA
This 90-nucleotide small RNA is filed under the name Arabidopsis thaliana (thale cress). Its description in RNAcentral is "ATSL186480". Lineage: Eukaryota; Viridiplantae; Streptophyta; Magnoliopsida; Brassicales; Brassicaceae. The record is from RNAcentral.